CCUACGGGAGACAGCAGUGAGGAAUAUUGGUCAAUGGACGAGAGUCUGAACCAGCCAAGUAGCGUGAAGGAUGACUGCCCUAUGGGUUGUAAACUUCUUUUAUAUGGGAAUAAAAUGUUCCACGUGUGGGAUUUUGUAUGUACCAUAUGAAUAAGGAUCGGCUAACUCCGUGCCAGCAGCCGCGGUAAUACGGAGGAUCCGAGCGUUAUCCGGAUUUAUUGGGUUUAAAGGGAGCGUAGGUGGAUUGUUAAGUCAGUUGUGAAAGUUUGCGGCUCAACCGUAAAAUUGCAGUUGAAACUGGCAGUCUUGAGUACAGGAGAGGUGGACGGAAUUCGUGGUGUAGCGGUGAAAUGCUUAGAUAUCACGAAGAACUCCGAUUGCGAAGGCAGCGCACUGGACUGCAACUGACACUGAGGCCCGAAAGUGUGGGUAUCAAACAGGAUUAGAUACCCCGGUAGUC
This 460-nucleotide ribosomal RNA is filed under the name uncultured bacterium. RNAcentral's name for it is "partial 16S ribosomal RNA". It matches the Rfam family "Bacterial small subunit ribosomal RNA", at positions 338 to 795 of the family's 1533-position model. The record is from RNAcentral.